CUACGUGCCAGCAGCCGCGGUAAUACGGAAGGUCCAGGCGUUAUCCGGAUUUAUUGGGUUUAAAGGGAGCGUAGGCUGGAGAUUAAGUGUGUUGUGAAAUGUAGACGCUCAACGUCUGAAUUGCAGCGCAUACUGGUUUUCUUGAGUACGCACAACGUUGGCGGAAUUCGUCGUGUAGCGGUGAAAUGCUUAGAUAUGACGAAGAACUCCGAUUGCGAAGGCAGCUGACGGGAGCGCAACUGACGCUGAAGCUCGAAGGUGCGGGUAUCGAACAGGAUUAGAUACCCUGGUAGUCCGCACAGUAAACGAUGGAUGCCCGCUGUUGGUACCUGGUAUCAGCGGCUAAGCGAAAGCAUUAAGCAUCCCACCUGGGGAGUACGCCGGCAACGGUGAAACUCAAAGGAAUUGACGGGGGCCCGCACAAGCGGAGGAACAUGUGGUUUAAUUCGAUGAUACGCGAGGAACCUUACCCGGGCUUGAACUAACGGUGACGAAUCUAGAGAUAG
This 506-nucleotide ribosomal RNA is filed under the name uncultured bacterium. Its description in RNAcentral is "bacterial SSU rRNA". It matches the Rfam family "Bacterial small subunit ribosomal RNA", at positions 501 to 1009 of the family's 1533-position model. The record is from RNAcentral.